This 707-nucleotide ribosomal RNA is filed under the name Dactylonectria sp. RNAcentral describes it as "LSU rRNA". It matches the Rfam family "Eukaryotic large subunit ribosomal RNA", at positions 74 to 813 of the family's 3401-position model. Lineage: Eukaryota; Fungi; Ascomycota; Sordariomycetes; Hypocreales; Nectriaceae. The record is from RNAcentral.
AUUGCCCUAGUAACGGCGAGUGAAGCGGCAACAGCUCAAAUUUGAAAUCUGGCCUUCGGGUCCGAGUUGUAAUUUGUAGAGGAUGCUUUUGGUGAGGUGCCUUCCGAGUUCCCUGGAACGGGACGCCAUAGAGGGUGAGAGCCCCGUCUGGUUGGACACCGAUCCUCUGUAAAGCUCCUUCAACGAGUCGAGUAGUUUGGGAAUGCUGCUCUAAAUGGGAGGUAUAUGUCUUCUAAAGCUAAAUAUUGGCCAGAGACCGAUAGCGCACAAGUAGAGUGAUCGAAAGAUGAAAAGCACUUUGAAAAGAGAGUUAAAAAGUACGUGAAAUUGUUGAAAGGGAAGCGCUCAUGACCAGACUUGGGCUUGGUUGAUCAUCCAGGGUUCUCCCUGGUGCACUCUUCCAGUUCAGGCCAGCAUCAGUUCGCUGUGGGGGAUAAAGGCUUUGGGAAUGUGGCUCCUUCGGGAGUGUUAUAGCCCAUUGUGUAAUACCCUGUGGUGGACUGAGGACCGCGCUUUUGCAAGGAUGCUGGCGUAAUGGUCAUCAGUGACCCGUCUUGAAACACGGACCAAGGAGUCGUCUUCGUAUGCGAGUGUUCGGGUGUUAAACCCCUACGCGUAAUGAAAGUGAACGCAGGUGAGAGCUUCGGCGCAUCAUCGACCGAUCCUGAUGUUCUCGGAUGGAUUUGAGUAAGAGCAUACGGGGCCGG